This is a long non-coding RNA of Acomys russatus (golden spiny mouse), 629 nucleotides long. RefSeq lists it as uncharacterized. The transcript is spliced from 3 exons. The record is from RefSeq and is a predicted model, not a curated record. NCBI's taxonomy places the organism in Eukaryota, Metazoa, Chordata, Mammalia, Rodentia, Muridae.
ACAGGAGCAGCUGCUGUUCACUGCUGAGUCGUCUUGACAGCCCUCACCGCCUUUUCUUGUUCUGCAUUUAUUUACUUUUUUCUUAAAUGGAUGGAUGUUUUGCUCACAUGUCUGUGCACCAUGUGUGUGUAGUGUCAGAAAGGGGUUUCCACUCCCUUGGGACUACAGUGACAGUUAGCGGUAACUGCCAUGUGGGUGCUGGGGAUCCCUAGAAUGGUGAUCUUAUCUACUGAGCUAUAUCUCCAGCCCCCCAAGAUCCCUUUUUGAGUUUGACAUUGGGCUAGUUGAUUUUUCUCUUAAUUACAAGAUGCUGACUGCUCAGCCACUGUAGCAGGUGCAGUUCAGGUUACCAGGGCAACAUAAUUCUAUCACACUGUUCUGCAGGUGCAGUUCAGGUUACCAGGGCAACAUAAUUCUAUCACACUGUUCUGUAGGUGCAGUUCAGGUUACCAGGGCAACAUAAUUCUAUCAUACUGUUCUGCAGGUGCAGGAUGCUGCUGUGUUGUGAUUUGAGAUGGCCAACUUCAAGUCACUCUCUUCCUCUCGUGCUGUGUAGUAGUCAAAGGUCACGGCUCUUUCUGCAUUGGAGAUUCUGGGACCUCAUCUCUCUCUCUCUCUGUUUUAUUUUG